UACGGGGGGGGCAAGCGUUGUUCGGAAUUACUGGGCGUAAAGGGCUCGUAGGCGGCCAACUAAGUCAGACGUGAAAUCCCUCGGCUUAACCGGGGAACUGCGUCUGAUACUGGAUGGCUAGAGGUUGGGAGAGGGAUGCGGAAUUCCAGGUGUAGCAGUGAAAUGCGUAGAUAUCUGGAGGAACACCGGUGGCGAAGGCGGCAUCCUGGACCAAUUCUGACGCUGAGGAGCGAAAGCCAGGGGAGCAAACGGG
Molecule: ribosomal RNA, 253 nt
Filed under: uncultured bacterium
Lineage: Bacteria
Description: partial 16S ribosomal RNA
Rfam family: Bacterial small subunit ribosomal RNA
Source: RNAcentral